Molecule: non-coding RNA, 31 nt
Filed under: Mus musculus (house mouse)
Lineage: Eukaryota; Metazoa; Chordata; Mammalia; Rodentia; Muridae
Source: RNAcentral
UUCUAUAAUAUGGUAGGAAAUCAUUAGCCUU